GCAUGCUAAACGGUGCUCACAACACAGCCACACGCGAGGUGUGACCAGUGCUGUACGUGAGCCCGGAGCUUGCGCCUGCACCAAGAUUUAACCGAGAAACAGGAUCAGCUCUGCUGAAAGCCAGGCAACACACACAGUGUGUGUGCCACAAGGCCGGCGGGUUCGCCGUGGCUCCCCCGCCACAGUCUUGCUUUCACUUCGCCUUCGGGUUUUGGGAGACCCUUAAACUUGCACACAUGCUAUACUCCUUGGCCCGUGUUUCGAGACGUGACCGACGGUGCUGGACUUGACACCACUCAGACCAACGCCCGGCUGAGAGACCUUGCAAAAUGCAGAGGGUCAUACCGCCUGGGAUAGACACUUCCGGCACAGUGGAAGCGUCCGGACGUCGGUCUGGCCAGAAAGCAGCUCGUCGCAUGAGGAUCGUACCAGGUUUAUCUCGGUCGCCGCCCGACCCAGGACUAGACACGCGUCCAUGCUCCUCCAAUACUGCUGGAGCAAUAGAGACGCAUCGUUGCCAUCGUCCUGGAUGCGCGAUCGGCAGUUUGAGCCUGUGGGUGACCUCACAACGUGCCGUGGUGGGCGUAACCGCAUUAGACACAGUAGCUUUGAACGCCCAUUCUCAAGGAAACGGCCAGAAGUCCUUCGGCCGAAGCCUAAGACCCCCAAACCGAAUCCCCGUACGUCAGCUGGUCGGCAAGCUUGAUGCUCCGCCUGACGAACCUUGCUACAUGCCUCACGAAACACCACGUGUGAUGCCCGAGACUGCGGAAGCCUUCCAAGCUCCGUCGGCUUAUACUCUGAGCGGUUUCACGGUCUUU
RNAcentral lists this ribosomal RNA (821 nucleotides) under Niphargus danielopoli. Its description in RNAcentral is "partial large subunit ribosomal RNA". Lineage: Eukaryota; Metazoa; Arthropoda; Malacostraca; Amphipoda; Niphargidae. The record is from RNAcentral.